GCGGACAGAUGGGAGCUUGCUCCCUGAUGUUAGCGGCGGACGGGUGAGUAACACGUGGGUAACCUGCCUGUAAGACUGGGAUAACUCCGGGAAACCGGGGCUAAUACCGGAUGGUUGUUUGAACCGCAUGGUUCAGACAUAAAAGGUGGCUUCGGCUACCACUUACAGAUGGACCCGCGGCGCAUUAGCUAGUUGGUGAGGUAACGGCUCACCAAGGCGACGAUGCGUAGCCGACCUGAGAGGGUGAUCGGCCACACUGGGACUGAGACACGGCCCAGACUCCUACGGGAGGCAGCAGUAGGGAAUCUUCCGCAAUGGACGAAAGUCUGACGGAGCAACGCCGCGUGAGUGAUGAAGGUUUUCGGAUCGUAAAGCUCUGUUGUUAGGGAAGAACAAGUGCCGUUCAAAUAGGGCGGCACCUUGACGGUACCUAACCAGAAAGCCACGGCUAACUACGUGCCAGCAGCCGCGGUAAUACGUAGGUGGCAAGCGUUGUCCGGAAUUAUUGGGCGUAAAGGGCUCGCAGGCGGUUUCUUAAGUCUGAUGUGAAAGCCCCCGGCUCAACCGGGGAGGGUCAUUGGAAACUGGGGAACUUGAGUGCAGAAGAGGAGAGUGGAAUUCCACGUGUAGCGGUGAAAUGCGUAGAGAUGUGGAGGAACACCAGUGGCGAAGGCGACUCUCUGGUCUGUAACUGACGCUGAGGAGCGAAAGCGUGGGGAGCGAACAGGAUUAGAUACCCUGGUAGUCCACGCCGUAAACGAUGAGUGCUAAGUGUUAGGGGGUUUCCGCCCCUUAGUGCUGCAGCUAACGCAUUAAGCACUCCGCCUGGGGAAUACGGUCGCAAGACUGAAACUCAAAGGAAUUGACGGGGG
This 872-nucleotide ribosomal RNA is filed under the name Bacillus siamensis. RNAcentral's name for it is "bacterial SSU rRNA". It matches the Rfam family "Bacterial small subunit ribosomal RNA", at positions 66 to 919 of the family's 1533-position model. The record is from RNAcentral. Lineage: Bacteria; Bacillati; Bacillota; Bacilli; Caryophanales; Bacillaceae.